AGAAGGUUCGAUCAAACCAAACCUUUGAAAUUGUGUUAUCUUGGGCUUGUCCGGCGACACCCACUGUGUCGUUCUCGAAAUUGUCUCUUCCAUUCCGGUUCAUUGUCGGAUUCGUUCUGUUGUUUGCGGUUUCGUGCCGUAUCUUGAUUUUGUCUCGGUGAUUCUCGAUUUGAAGGAUUGAGAUCGUGAUUCUCGAUAUUGUUCUGGAUUGUCGUUACUUGUGUGUGACUCUGAGUUUUGCUGCCGUCUCUUGAUUCUCGGUGUUGUUCAGGAUUGACGUUGUUUAGGUUCAAGAUUGACGGUUUUGCUUUGACAUCGUUAUUUCGUAUUUGCGAUCGAUUUUGAUCGGUGACUUCUCACGAUUUUGAUUCAUUGCUGCCAUUUACGACUCUGCAAUCGCAACAGUUGUUUCCUUUGUUACGGUAUUGGGUAUUUAGGUUUCUAAGGUUAUUUUGUAUUCCUUUCCCUUUUUUUUNNNNNNNNNNNNNNNNNNNNNNNUGUAAUUAGUUAUGAUUAGUCAUUAUGAGUUGUAAUUACCGACACUAUUAUAUAUAGUAUCAAAUACAAUGAGAAAGGCAUCAAGCCAGAAUUUAUAACAUGGUAUCAGAAGGUUCGAUCAAACCAAACCUUUGAAAUUGUGUUAUCUUGGGCUUGUCCGGCGACACCCACUGUGUCGUUCUCGAAAUUGUCUCUUCCAUUCCGGUUCAUUGUCGGAUUCGUUCUGUUGUUUGCGGUUUCGUGCCGUAUCUUGAUUUUGUCUGGGUGAUUCUCGAUUUGAAGGAUUGAGAUCGUGAUUCUCGAUAUUGUUCUGGAUUGUCGUUACUUGUGUGUGACUCUGAGUUUUGCUGCCGUCUCUUGAUUCUCGAUGUUGUUCAGGAUUGACGUUGUUUAG
Molecule: long non-coding RNA, 892 nt
Filed under: Lathyrus oleraceus (garden pea)
Lineage: Eukaryota; Viridiplantae; Streptophyta; Magnoliopsida; Fabales; Fabaceae
Description: Pisum sativum (pea) long non-coding RNA (PSAT_LNC003431)
Source: RNAcentral